CAUGGUUGCCCUUGUCAUGUGGCACAUAACACCGCCAAAGCUGCAGGAGUGGGAUGUUAAAAGUGUCCCGUUUUGAUUUAGAGGACAUGGUAGUGGACAUCGGUUACUGGUUCAAGGCUAGCACAAAUCGGAAAGGAUACCUGACAGAGUUUUGUGAGCUCCAUGAAGCGGAGUACAUGGAGGUCCUCAUCUAUAUCUCGGUUCGUUGGCUAAGCCUUGAACGUUGUGUGACCAGGAUCCUGAGGCUUUAUGAACGUCUGGCCAGCUACUUCAAAUCUGCUGGUAUGGUCAUC
Long non-coding RNA from Eleginops maclovinus (Patagonian blennie), 293 nucleotides. RefSeq lists it as uncharacterized. The transcript is spliced from 3 exons. Lineage: Eukaryota; Metazoa; Chordata; Actinopteri; Perciformes; Eleginopidae. The record is from RefSeq and is a predicted model, not a curated record.